This is a long non-coding RNA of Columba livia (rock pigeon), 11807 nucleotides long. RefSeq lists it as uncharacterized. The transcript is spliced from 4 exons. NCBI's taxonomy places the organism in Eukaryota, Metazoa, Chordata, Aves, Columbiformes, Columbidae. The record is from RefSeq and is a predicted model, not a curated record.
GAGGUUUCACUCAUACUUUUAGAGUUUACUUCCUCCUACCUGCUUAACCUCUGGGUGAACUGAUUAAAAUAAAGGGGCGACCAGAUGAGAGGGAUUGAAAUGGGCAGUGUGCAUGUCACUGCGCAACCCAUGGGCUGGAAAUCAAGUCUCUGCCUGCCCACAUCCCUUGAGCUGCCUUUCUAUGGUGAACACUGUGUUUUGUGCUUGCAUGCUCGUAGUCCCUGUAAGCCUCUGCAGUAGCCCCCAUUCUAGAAGGCUGAAAGAGCACCUGCAACCCUGUUUCCAGCCCUGGUCCAGGGUUUCCUUAAAGGUCUAACAAUUCCAGAAAGUGUGGAAAAUCCAGCAGGGGUAUAUCCUUUUAGAGAUGUUUAAAUAUAGGCUUUGCUGGGUAGUGAAGGGCCAAGAGUCAGUCAAAGGAUGGUCUCUCUGACCCUGGACUGUAACCCCCUUUCCCAGCAAUUCGUGGAUGAACACAGCAUGUUCUUGCUGGGGUAGAUCACUUAUGUGAUUCUUCUCAAGUGGUACCAUGACAUGUCGUUUUUGGCUGUAACCCCUCAAAUAUUUUUAUAUGAAAAAAAGAUGGAGUUUUUCUUUUCACUCCUUGGUCUCGUGGGGAUUUCCUCGUUCUCUGCUGCAGCCCGUUGGCUGGGGUUUUCAGAAGCUGAUUUUGCAAACGCUUUUUGAGCCGUUGGGUGGUGCUGAUGCGGGGUGAGUUCUAUCAGCGCUGGGGGAAGGUGAGCCCUGCCCCAGUUCUGCGAGCAGGACGGGUUCCUCCCGCAUGGCUCCUGCGUUGCUGGGAAAGGAGCAGCGGGUACAGUCCAGAGCGAAACCCAGGGUAUGUGACACCCAGUAAUUAGACAUAGCGAUGAUCCUGAAUCAGUUCCCUUGCAAUGGAGAUCACUCCAGAACCUGUUGCCAGUGCUAAUUCUGCCAAGGGCGGUUACUUCCAGCAGUGUGAGCAAUACGCUGAUGCAUAGGUAUUCCAGAUGAACUGGAGCCUCCGAAAGGAGGAGGCUAUACCCUUCUUUUCCCCAUAUCUGCCUUACACUUGCAGACGUGUCACUGGCAGCCCACAGGAAGCUCCCGGAGGCAUUUUUAUGCCCUCAUGCUGUAGUUUUGUCAAGCUCACCUGCUCAGUUUCCUCCCAGGCUCUGCUGAGUCACACGUGUGGGUAGGCAAGUGAGAUGUCUGGAUUUCCCCCCCUGUGCUCAUCUUCCCUUUUUCCAGCCCCAAAGCACCCGGGCAGGGCUCGCCACUCCGCCAGUGCCCCCAGGCUUAGAAAGAAGCCAUUGUGUUCAAGUUUUCAAACAAAAGUUGAACAGAAGUGGGAGGAAAAGGGCAAGUGCAAGAAAAAGAAUAGAUGAGUUCAGGACAAGCGGAAUAAAAGGAGAGCAGCAGGAAAGGGGCCAGAGAAAGAGAGGAUCUGUUGGAAGAGCUGAUACAUGUUCAGUGAUGCUAACGCUGGUCAGAAGUAAACUUUAUCCCAAUGCAGAGUGUGGAGAAAAAGAGAACCUGAGGUUUUCUGGCUCCAGCUCACACAAUCAAACAUUCCUGCAGGGCCUCAUUUCCUUGUGGUUUUCUUCCGUGCCUUCUGCCCUACUGGUUGCUUCUCCGGGCAAUGUGAGCUCAGUGAGCAGCUCGCUGCUGGGUUCAGAAACGCUCUGCGUGUUCUCCCCAUGAUGCAGAGAAGCAGGAAAGAGUGUUCUGAAGGGACCACAGGGCUGCAAGUCCCCUGGAAAUACAAACCCCCACUUGUUGCACGAUUUUUUCUGCAAGCACCUGAAGGAACGUGGGAAGUUAGCUGGUAAAAUGAGAGCAAAUGGAAUGGGGAAACAGCAAAUGAAAAUGGAAGUGGAGGAUUUGGCAAGCGCAACUUCACUGCUGACGCUGUUUGCCCUCAGCAGUUUCAUCUGAAGCCUCCUCGCAAAAGCUCCGUGCCACCUUUCAGUCAGCGAGGAUGGCUCAGUAUCGUAUCACUGGAAGAAACAGAGUUGAAAAUACAUAUGUUUGCCUCUUGGAAAGGAUUAAUUUGGGAAAAGAAAAGGCAGGAUUGCAUCAUAUCACAUAUGUAACAAGGAAGACUCUGCUUCAGAAAUUUAUCCAGGGAAAGAGAGAUCUUUGCAAGUGAUGGUGGAAGUGACAAUGUUUGUUAAACUCAGCGGGGCUUUUCAGUUUUGUUUGGUUGGUUCUUGAAGAGGUUGAACUUGCUGUGGGAAACCAGGAGCUGAGGCUUUGAGAGGGGAUAGAGCCAGAAAAAGCUCUGUCAGGAGGAGAGUUCUGGAAAGCAAUAGAAUGAAUAUUUUUAGCUGAAAAGGUGACUUCAUAGUAAUUAAUUUGGACAGGGAUAACCUUGUGUAAUGAAGCAAAUCAAAUGGAUGUGAAGUCCACUAGAGGAAGGGUAGGGAGCAGGAAUUACGAUAGGAGACUCGCAUGUGUGUUAUAAAGAAGCAUUUGAAUCACAGAAUCAUAAGGAGUUUGAGCUUCCAAAAUACUCGGACAGAGCACUAGGACAGUCGGAGUGGAAGCUGGCAAGGCUUAAACUGCCCAGCCGUGCUCAGAGCAGCCCUAAAACCAGCAGGAGCUGGCCCCUUUUGGGCUGGCAGCUCCAAAGUUGGGGUUUCAACCUCUGGGUACUGGGCUCCCCAGCCACAGCCCUCAUCGGCGGUUUCGCAGUAAACUCAAGAACCGUUUGGAAAUUAUUUAGGGGUGUUUCCCUGCCUGCCGCCCACACUGCAGGUAUUACACCAUAGAGGAUGACUUGGGAUUUAUUCCCUUUUGGCAAGCAGACAGAAAUGACUAUCUUGUCUGUCUCUUUGUUAGCACAAGUGGUGUGGUUCCUUCCCUACCCUUUCUCUUUGUGUAUUUGUGGGCAAAACUUAAGCUAGAGCCGUAAUUUCCACAGGCUUCUUUCAAGGCCAAGUCUUGGCUAUUUCGGAGAAAACCUGUGCCAUUCUCUGCUUCCUUGCAACGUCUGCUGGUCCCUGGGGGAUGUCCACAUGGCUCUUUGAGCUUCUCAAAAGGCUCCAACUCUAUACACCAGGAGCUCCUGGAAGCCUGAUGCUGUCUCAUUCAAAGUGGGACCUCAUGAUGCUGAGCAUCCCUGGGUGCUGCAGCUUGGCUCAGCUCAGAGCCCCUGUGCUGAGUGACACAGAGGGUGUCCGGUCCUUGCACCCUUUCCCUGCAGCAAAUCCACUCCUUUUUGUCAUCCCCAGGCUUAAAUUAAUCUUUCUUUUUGUGGCUGGAGGACUGGAGUUCCUAGGCAAACAGCAGUGCUUUGAAUUCAGGGCUCUGCUUCAGGAAGGGAGGCAAAACCCUUCAGUAUAUUGACUGAGAGUUAAUGAUCUGGGGAAGACCAGAUGCUGGAAAAGCAAACCCACCUCCUCCCCCAUGCAACCCAGUAGGAGGAGAUGGCAAGUGAGGAGGUGUCCUUUCGGCAAAAGUGCAGCAGUCCUGCAGGGAAUAAACAAUUGUAUGCAACCACCUGCUUCAGAGCGCGGAAAUGUGAGUCACAGCCAAACAGCAUCAGGCUGUCUCUCUGGCACAAUGGUUGUAGCGAACAAAACCAUUUGGGUGACGCAGAGUCUAAGCUAGAGCCAGGGCAGAGUGCUGGGGGAAGAAGAGAGCAGAGGCAGCAGACACAGGGAGUCCCGUAUGCUCCCUGUCCUAGCACUGGGCAGCCUUGGCCCCAGUACAACACCCCCUACCCGGGCAUCCUCUCCAGCUCGCUGCUGGCCCUGCAUGGCAGGAGGGGACUGCCCAGCUCACAGCAAGGAGAGGUCUGUUUGCUCUGAGCUCCUCUACAUUGCACUGUUUGCUCUAGGUGAAGGAUUUAAGACCGUGGGGAUUUACUGGCCUGUUUUGCAAACAGUGUGUUUUAUAAAUAUAGGAUGUUUUUUUACUGCUUGGACUGCUGAGCUGGCUUUAAAAGAUUCCUUGUCCUGCUUGUGGUGUGGGGUGGCUUGAGGCAGCUGGAGUGGACUCUGCACCUCUGGUCUGCCCAGGGGCUUUGGAGCCAACAGUGUCACAACAAUUCUCUGCAGCUUCCAGGAAGCAGAUGAGGGCCCUGCCACACGUCACCUCCCACCUCCAUACACCAGAGGAGAACAGAGAGAGAGGGAGCAGGUCAGGCUUGCUGGAGUUGCACAGUGGACAAGGAACGCUCUUUGCAUCUGGAGGCAGCUGGGAGGCUGCUGGUCCCCCUAUGUGUCCCGAGUUUGCUGCAGGGAAACCCCUCAGUCCUGCUCCUCUGCCAGCCAGGCUCUCGGGCUGGCGCUGGCAUGGGCUUUCCCACAGCUAGACAGAAGGAACCUUCAGUUUUAGGGCGCUUUAUGCUACUUUGUUAGACCUGAAGGGGCUUUAUCCAGACUUGGCUUAGAAAAAGCGAAUGGUUCCCUGCGUUUGCCUCUGUGGGGUAAGGUCCUGAAAGCCUCCUUGUUAUCUACAUCAGCUACAAGGAGAGAGAGGGCAGGUUUGCUCUGGCAGUUUACAAGGGAGGAAUCUGUUUUGAAGGACAAACUCUUUGCAAAAGGGCACUUCCCUAAAGUGAGCGAUUUAAGACGGCAAUUUUCCUGCUUGGCCUCCGUUGCUUCUUUGUACUUCCUUGUGUCAACUUCUGGACGUUUGUCCCCUCCUCCAGUGGGUUUUACAAGCGGAGUUUCCUGUCAUGUCGACCUUCUGCCAGCCCGGCCACCUCCUCGGUCAGCUCCCCUUGCUCUUGCACUGAACCCACAAGGUGCUUCCUUUGGGAGGCUGGGAGGUGAUGCAGGGUGGGAUUGCCUGGAGACGCAGGCAAAAGUAAGCAAAUCUUUGUAUGUGUUUACCUAUGAGACAGAACAUGCAUGAAGUUACACCUCAUCAUGCUGGAAGGCACGGCCUGUUGCUGAAGGGUGUGUGUAGCACUUGGGUAAAUAGAGCCUGGUCAUUCUGGAGCAAUAAGCCUGUGAAUCCUUAUGCAAAUAGGCACUAUUUGCUCAUGCAAACCUGCCUAAGGCAGCGGGGUGAGACAGCCCAGGUGCAGCAGCAAUCCUUUGCGGGUCACUGUAAAUCCCUUGGUUUGCACUGUGGACCACCCAAGAGGUUCGGUCUCCAAACGAUCCUUGAUCACAGGAGAUAGGAGAAAUAGCAGCCAGGAGUUUGGUCUCUCUAGGACAUGAAGGGGUACACAACAGUAACUGGAUUUACUUGUCUCCUGUAUCUCCUCCCUCUCUGAGAUGGAGAGAUGAAGUCUCUGCUGCCACCUGCAACCAACCCCGGACCAUAGUCAUUCUUGUCCUCUUCUCAUGUCUGCUGAGCAUUUCUGCAAAUAAAGCCUUGUUGGCUGUCCCGGUGCCACUACUGCACUCCUUCCUGUUUCAGCAUCUGAGUGGUCUCCUGGGGUUCCCACUACCGUCCCUUCUGUCCCCAAACCUUGCCAUGGGCAAGGGAGGGAAAUCUGUCCGGAGCAGUGCAGGUGUUUCAGUGCUGUCUCUAGCAGGUCUGGUACAAGGACAGACAUCAGCCCUUGGGGAAUGGAGUUUGCCUGGGUGGGGUCUGAGCCCUGCAGAUGCAAACAGCAUAAGAGGAGCUCAGCUGGCAUCUUGUCACUGUGUUACGUGGCUUAUCUGCCUUUGCAAGGAAGCGUGUUUGUACAGAAGCGUUAUUGUGCAAUGCAGAGGGUACAGCCCUGUUGGCAGGAGUGGUGGCCAGAAGCCACAGGCAAGAGCAGCUGUCAGAGGCUCCUGUGCUGGGGCGGGGGCUGCAGGGGAAGGCAGGCAGCCCCGGGGUCGGGGAUUUGGGGCAGGAAGGAGCAAUAGUCCUUUGCAAAAGCAGCUAUGAGGAAAAGGGUGCUGGAUGGGGACCGGCUGUCCAGGAGAUGGCAGCAGCUUUCCAGCAGCUGUGCCCGGGUUUGCUGUCCUGGUUCCCGUGUGCCCUUCCACAUGGCCAGGAGGAAAGACGGGUAAAAACCUGCCCUCCCUCUGCCUGCCCAAUUGCAGAGGGGCUCAGCAACCACCCCAGCUGGGCCCAGCACCCCGGCAAUGUGCGCCACAGUGUCCUGUGUGGAACCAGGUGGGUGCUGCCCCUGGAAACUGUCUUCCUUUCCUUGGUGGCUGUGUGGAAACCCACGCAAUUCGUUAAGUCCGAUGCUAACCCCAGCGGUGGCAGAAGAACAGCAAGGAGACUGAGCUUUCAUUCGAGUGCUCGGGAGGAAGAGGGUGCACCAAGCGUCUACAGGAGGCAUCAGUGGUAGCAGAAAUGGAGAAGUAGGAAAUGUACAGUGCUGCCGGUGAUUCUGCAACAGACAUGACUUUAGAUCCUCAGAUCAAAGAUACAGCUCAGCAGCUGGGAGCAAAGUCAGCUCAAGUCAUCUGCUCCCAGCAUGACAUGUGCGUUCCUCCAGCCUGCCAGCACGCAAAGAUCUCUCAUCCAUACAUCCAUGUUUUAAAAUGCAUGUAUAGCUUGGCCCCCCGAGACCUCACUCAGCAUGACAUCUAAAAAAAAGUUUGGUUUGUUGGUGUUUUAAUUGGUGUCUAAGCCUGACCUCAAAACAGCUGAGAUCCUUCAUCUCGAAGAGCAGCCCUUGCCCCAGCUGCAAGUGAUAAGCAUCUGCAUUUAUUGCCAGGGAGCCACUGCCCUGGCUUUGUUUGGGAGACCUGGCUGUUGUAUCUGAGAGUGCCUGGAUCAUCCCUGGUGUGCAGCACAGAUGUGGUUGAGAACAGAAGGCAGAUGGGAAGAGCUGAUAUAGCAAACAGACAAUAGGAUGAAACCAGAGCAUAAAGCGGGCUGAAAGUCAGAGAAAGAAGAAAAACAAGUGGAAGAGAAAGAACCUGAAAUUCCAAUCCCCGCAGGUCAGAUUUAGUCUUUGGCUUCUUAUGCUAAGCUCUCCCCAGACUACUCCUUGUGUAAUGAGCACAGCUUUAUCAUGGUAGUGAUCAUGGGAUAAUAACAGCUCUAAUAACAGCAAUUCUAUCGUAAUACAAUUUCUACUGCAAAAAUAUUGUUAUUAUGAAAUUUACUGUGACUGGGUUGUAAAUGGGGCAACAUUGAAUAAUCAUCUGCAAAGUGAAGCGGCAGGACAAGGCGGCAGAGCUGUCUGCUGCUCCUCAGCUUCGUGACCACCCCAUUGUGGGGGGACCAGGGACCCGCAGCGGACACAUAAUGCUGUGACACUCGGGAAUAGGGCUCUCCCCUGCUAUCACACUGACUCCAUCUGUGCUAAAAGUGGCACUCGGGAAUAGGGCUCUUCCCCUGCUAUCACACUGGCUUCACCUGUGCUAAAAGCUCACGUUCUCAGGCAAGCUUUCCUCCUGACUUCAAAGGAUGCUUUCACCCAGGAGAGAACAGCCAGCUCAGCAGCUGCUUCUACAUUUCCUGCUCCUGUUUCCAGCUGAGGGACCUGCUCUCAAAACCAUCCCAAAAGCUUAGCAUCGGAAUUAGUUAAGUUGAUAAGGGAGGUAGGUGUGUUAACAGUGACAGUAUCCAAAGAGUGGGUUACAGGGAGGUUUGUAACUUGACGUGCUGUUAUGUAAGAAGUUUUAUUCAUGCUUGGCUCAGAUACACUACUGAAAAUGGAUGGAUUAAUGGAAGUAUUUAUCAUUUAUACAUAGAAAAACAAGGUGGUCAAAUCAGAAUGAAUUUUCACUUCCUUAGAGACAGGAGAGCAAUUACAGGACAAUGGAGAACAGAGAGGGGCUGUUGUAUCCGCACAAUAGAGAGCAGAAAGAAAACUGAAGAAAGAAAGAAAAAAGCCAGAGGGGGAGACAGUGACAGAGAAAGAAAGUGAAGAAAGUGUAUCAUCUGUGACAAGGACACAAUGUGAACUUGCAACAUCAAAGUGACAACAGAGGCUUGGUGGAGAGGGAAUACCUGCUGCUAAGAGGGAGCAGCGUGUGCUCUGGGGCUGCAGGACUCACCUGCGCAGAGGGCUGGGAAGGAAUUAUUGGUGUUGGCAAAGUGUUUGAGCUCCUGCGAGAGGAUUGUGAAGGGUGUUGGUGUUCAUGAGGAGCGGUGAGGGGAAUGCUGCGGGGAGGAACACUAACUGGGGAGCCUCUGAACCCUGGUAACACCCCCUUUGUGUGCAUCCCCACAGCUCCUUGAGGACCUUGACUGCCUGUACCUUCAGGUGACAUUCCCCUUGCAGAGAAAGGCAGCGUGAGGCCAAAACUACAACUGUAUUGUGGAACCAGCAGAGCUUCCUACCUUUCAUAAAUUGCUUUUACACCUUAAUUGAAAUCCUUUCCCACCUGCAAAGUCUGAUGUAAUCGAAGGCAAACCUGAUACAUUGGUGGCACUGGUUACCUGGCCGCUGCUCAGGAGGACGGAGUCUGGGGAUAAGUGUUGCCUUUGUGAAUGCACAAGAGUUUCUAAUUCACACCUUUUUCCAUUCCAGGCACCCAGCUUUCUUCUAACACCUGGAAAUGCAGUCUAGGUGAUUAAACAAAAGAAACUGAUAGGAAAUACAAGCAUUUUCCAAUGGGAGUGAAAGUUAAAACAUGAUGUGUUCCAACACUGCUUUUUGUUCUGCAAGCCAUUUCUUGCCAUCCAUGCACCCCAUGGAAGAAUCCAGGGAAGUGCAGUUAAUGCAAUGAGCUACAAUUUCUAUCUAUGGAGAGCAAUCAACCAUAAACCAAAACUCAGUGAAACGCUGAAUUACUGCUAUUUUGGUCCAUGCUUGAACCCUUGAGUUCCGUGCACAGCAGUCUGUGCUUCAGGCUAAUAGCUGGAUGCAAAUACCCCCAUCAUUUCACUUUCAGUGCUCCCUAAUUGUAUUUAGACUUGUUUCUACAGAAUUUAGUGACAUUUAGAGAGAACAAUGCAGAGUUUGCUGUGUCACAGUGGCUAUACCGCUGGGCUGCGUUAUCUGUUUGGUGCUGCUCAUGUGGUUUCACAAAGAAACGACUCUGGCAUUACCUUUAUUGCUUUUCCUAGCAAUGCAAAUUAUUUUCACCACCUUAAAUACAGACUGUGUAAUAAAAGCAUGAGGGUAGUGCAGCUACUUUGUUCACUUAAAAGCAAGCAGCAGUCCCAGAAGGGAAGCAGGGAGAGGUUGUUGAUGCUGAUGACUUGAAUUUUACUAUAAAACGAAUCUGGAUUAAAGUUGACAUUAAUCAGGCUUGUCAGCAGGGAUCAGCAUCACCAUGAGGAUGUGUCUUAGCCUUCCAGAGCAGGAAUGCGGCAUCUCUGCCAGAGCUCAGCCUGUCAUGCAACAGGUAGGGUGCUUUAAAAUUGUCCCAAGCAAAUAUUCUCCUUGGAUACUGGGAAAGAGCUGAUGUGAACAGAGGGGAAAAUGAGCGUGAAGCAAUCUGCAGUACCCAUUGUCCCACGAGCCCCGCUCUAAGCACAGAUACUCGCAAAGCCAUGGCAAUUCUCUUGCCCUGCUGCCUGGCUACUAUGGGAAAACCAACUAUUGAUAAUCAUCCCCAUCUGGUUCUAUUCUGGGGAAAAAAAUGAAGAAUCUAUCACAAACCCAAGGCAACUCUUUGUAAUGAACACUUUAAAUACAUUUCCAACCUGUUUGUGUUUCAUAAUGAGCUUUCUAGAAUAUACUAUGCUGUGUUUCUAAUAAUGCCCUUAUUGAAAUGUUAUUGAUUUGGAGAAAAGAAUACUAAUGUGUUCUUCUCAGGACUCUGGAUACGGAUGGAGACCAGUGUCAGCUAUUUCCUCGUUAGAGGUCUAGCUGAGCAUCGGUUGCUUUACACAAAGCUUCAGUUUCUUACUCGGGACAUGAGUGACCUCAGCAGUUGUACUGCGACUCUGCAUAUGAAUAGCACUCUUCUAUUAUUUCCAGCCAAAUAGCCACAGAGAUAAUUGCUUAGGACGAACGAUUUCUCCUUAUGGUAGUAUCACGACUUGGGCAAAGAGCGGUCCUUCUUGUUUUAGCGGCGGUGUGUGCAUCUAUCCAGACGUGGUCCCUCCCUGAAGCGUUUGUGCAAACUAUGGUGACAAAGCACAGAAAGCAAGAACGAGUAACACAGUUUGCAGAUGAGCCAUCAGAGGCCUGCAAAGCUGAGCUGGCGUGGGACAGCAGAACGGUGGCUACACAACUGCACAAUUAGUUACUUGGGAGGCAAGUCACAGUAUCACAGUAUAUUUGGGAUUGGAAGGGACCUCAAAAGAUCAUCUAGUCCAAUCCCCCAUGGAGCAGGAACACCCAGAUGAGGUUACACAGGAAGGUGUCCAGGCGGGUUGGAAUGUCUGCAGAGAAGGAGACUCCACAACCCCCCUGGGCAGCCUGGGCCAGGCUCUGCCACCCUCACCAGGAACAAGUUUCUUCUCAUAUUUAAGUGGAACCUUUUGUGUUCCAGCUUGAUCCCAUUACCACUUGUCCUAUCAUUGUUUGCCACCGAGAAUAGCCUGGCUCCAUCCUCGUGGCACUCACCCUUUAUAUAUUUAUAAACACUAAUAAGGUCACCCCUCAGUCUCCUCUUGUCCAAACUAAAGACCCCCAGCUCCCUCAGCCUUUCUUCAUAAGGGAGAUGCUCCACUCCCUUCAGCAUCUUUGUUGCUUUACGCUGGACCCUUUCCAGCAGUUCCCUGUCCUUCUGGAACUGAGGGGAAGAAGUCCUACCCAUGUAUCACUCCAGAGGGGAUGGGGCUGCACUCAUUCCAAACCCAAAUUACACCCUGGCUGUUGUUCUGGAUGACUGGGUACACGCAGCCUCUUGGACGUCCCAGCGUGUGCCCAGGGUGACUGUGGGCAUGGGGAUGCAGCUCUAUCGCUCCAGCUCUGGACGGAAAAUAACCCGCUUCUUGCUCUGAAAGGGCUCAGCAAGUGUCCUGUUUACUCAGGACAAAUCAGCAAUACCGCAGAGACCUCCAUAUCCCCCUUGCUGAUAGAUCAGCCCCGUUGCCAGGCCCUGGGUCCCGGUGGAGCAUUGGCCAAUGUCAGUUUUUGAAACCGCGUGUCUGCCAGCCGUGCUGUUAAUGGUGUAGCAGCAUGGUGUUUGGGAUAAACGAGGUACUCGCAGCUCGUAUUACUCUGCGGUGGACAUCCAGGGUGGUUGUUCUGCAUGCCUUGAAGCCGGUCAGUGGAACACACUGAGCCUUUCUCCAGCUGACCUCUAAUUAAAGUCUUGUUAUUAAUGGCUGUUAUUAUUCAGCCUCUUGUCAUUAUACUGCUCCUCCAUUACAGAAGCUUCCUCUUAGCUUCUAUGUCCCUUGCACUUGCUUACUGUCAUUUGCCAAGUAUUUUCAGGUACGAAAAAUGCACAGAGCUCCAGAGAGGUGGAUGUUUUGUUGCCUAAUUGAAGCCACAGGCAAUUCCGUUAUUUUUCAGACCGAAAUGGCAGGCAGGUCUGGAGAACAAUGACUGUAAGAAAGGAAAACCGGGAGUAAAUUUAAAAGCUUGGAAGACCAUUUCUGUUACCAGCGUACCAGCAUAGAAAUCCCACUGCAGACAAGGUGGCAGAAGUUCACUCGGGGUUGUGAUGAUGGAAUUUUAGAGAAUUCCAAAUAAAUUGGGAAAAAAGAAGCGGAAUGUAUCAGCCUUGCCCAUCUAUAUAUUAUGAGUCAGAUGCCCUUGAAAUUACUGCUAAAUAAAUGUUAUUUGUUAUUGUAUUAACAUGAUACAUGGGCAAAACGCAGAGACAGUCCCAGGCCCGGAAACUUUAAAAACCGUGGAGACAACACAGAGAAGAAGAGAGAUCCAUACUUUACGAACAUAGAAUCGAGCCACAGAGAUGACAAAACACGAGCUGGCGGAAAAUUUUGAUCAAGUAUUUCUCGGCUGAAGAUUGUUUGGAUUUAUUGAAGUAUUUUGGGAAUGUAUGUAAAUUGCAUCUAUUCAUUUCAUAAUGCAGCAUAAAAAUAAAAGUGCUUUUUAAAAAAAUCAA